AGUGAACGCUGGCGGUAGGCCUAACACAUGCAAGUCGAACGGCAGCACAGUAAGAGCUUGCUCUUACGGGUGGCGAGUGGCGGACGGGUGGGGAAUACAUCGGAAUCUACUUUUUCGUGGGGGAUAACGUAGGGAAACUUACGCUAAUACCGCAUACGACCUACGGGUGAAGGCAGGGGAUCUUCGGACCUUGCGCGAUUGAAUGAGCCGAUGUCGGAUUAGCUAGUUGGCGGGGUAAAGGCCCACCAAGGCGACGAUCCGUAGCUGGUCUGAGAGGAUGAUCAGCCACACUGGAACUGAGACACGGUCCAGACUCCUACGGGAGGCAGCAGUGGGGAAUAUUGGACAAUGGGCGCAAGCCUGAUCCAGCCAUACCGCGUGGGUGAAGAAGGCCUUCGGGUUGUAAAGCCCUUUUGUUGGGAAAGAAAAGCAGCAGGUUAAUACCCCGCUGUUCUGACGGUACCCAAAGAAUAAGCACCGGCUAACUUCGUG
Molecule: ribosomal RNA, 492 nt
Filed under: uncultured bacterium
Lineage: Bacteria
Description: partial 16S ribosomal RNA
Rfam family: Bacterial small subunit ribosomal RNA
Source: RNAcentral